AGGAAAUAGACAACAGAUGAGAAAUAAAUGCAUAAUAUAAUACCCAAGAAGGAGACUAAAGUUGGGUAAGGGGAUGAGGCAUAAAAAGAUGGUUAUUUUUGAUGGAUUAGUCAGGGAAGAGUGUUCCAAAGAUGUGGCCUUUGGGCAGAGACCUUGAUGAACUGAGCUGAGCCAUGUAAAUAUCUGGGGAAGAGCCCUGAGUAAGAGGGAACAGCACAUGCUCAGGCCGAGUUAGGGCAUGCUUGACAAGUGGAGGAAAGGUGAUUCCAUCAAUGGAGCUGUGGCCCAGUGGGCAAAGGGGAGGGGGGCAAAGGUGAGGUUGGAGUAGCAGCCGUGGGCAAACCAUGCAGACAGUGGGGAGUCCUGUGGAUUUGUUCCCAUGGCGAUGAUGAGGCAUGGAAGUGUCGAAAUGGGGGAGCUGCAUGGUCCUGUUUAUGAUUUUAAAAGUUCACUCUGGGUGCCUUGCUGAUAUGUGGAGAAUAAACUUGGGUGGACGAGGGUGAGAAUGGGUCUGUGUGUGAGUGACAGUCACUUUCCAGGCUAACAUACCUGUAACACUCGAUUCCUAUGCCAACACAGGAGAUAGGUAAUCAUCUCCAUGGGACAGAAGAGUCUGCAACUCAAAUCAGUUGAGCAACCUGGCCCAGGUGACUCAGGAAACUGACAGGAGUGCUGGCAUUUGAACCCAGGGCUGCUUCCCUCCAGCUCUCUCCUUUAAUCCCCUGAACAGCCUGACUGUGGAUGCCUUGCUUUUGAGAGCCUCUGUGUUGCCUCUGUGUUCUCCUCUCUGCUUGCGCUCUUUCCUUCCUGGGGCAAUGGAGACAAGAUGAGUUUGCCUCCUCUCAUGAUUGUAUGUCCCAGCUACUUUGUGCCUUCUCACCUACAUUUGCUAUCUCCCUCCCAGGUGCCCACAGUGGUCAUCAGAGAACAGGUGCACCAAUAAGGGGAGGCUGGCUCUCUGAGCACACUCCUCGCCCAUCCUGGGACUGCUGCUUCUCCUAAGACACCACAAGGCAGAGCUCCUUCCACAUUCCUGACUCUCCAGUCCUGUCUACCCAGGGAAGUGUGGUUUCUUUAGGUUUGCUCGCCCCUGGAGCCCAAAUCCUGCAAUUAGCUAGUAUUGUCUUCUGGUGAAAUAGUAAUUGUUACGGGUUCUGUUUCAGAAUUAUGAUAAUCUCUGAUGAAAUCAUCCCAGUCCACACAAAAUGGGAAAGAAGGGCCCUUUCUGGUAAUUGAUGAAACCAAUUGGCCAUGUUGCAGCCCGAGCAGAGUGUGGAGGGAGCCAUGGCCUUGCACAUUUCCGUUGGAUCUGUAUCAUCUCUGCCAUUCUUGUUCUCUUUCUUUGGUGAGGAAGCACCAGGGCCAACUUUCUGCCAUGGCUUCCACUUGAACCUGGCUGCCCUUUGUAGCAACACCCGGGGGUCCUCCUGAAUGCAACAAUACGGCUUCGUCAGAAAGAGUUUGGCCUCUGGAAUCUGGCUGUCUCCUUGAGAAUCCUGGCUCUAUAACUCACUAACUCUAUCCUACUGGGAGGGUUUUUGGUGUGUGUCUCAGUUUUCUCAUCUGUGGUAUGUAAUGUGCACUGUAAUGAGAGCUCCUUUUGCUGUGUUGCUGUUCACUGUAUCAGGGAAGAGCCCUGGUUGGCUGCAGGGUCACUUUCUUCAAGCUCACAAGCCUGGGGGCACUCCGUGUAGUUGCUUUCAAAUACUGCCUGUUCAGGUCAAAAAGGAACAGAGGAGGAGAGCUGCCUGAGGUGGUCCUGCCCUGCAGACUUGUCCCUCGUCUCUCGUCCUCACCGGGGCAUGGAGCUCCAUCAGAGUAUUCUCGCCUCCCUCGUGGGGUCAUACUUCCAUCUCAGGAGGGUGGUUGUGCUCCCUUCACAGGUGUGAGGAGCUUUCUUUACUCUUCUCCCUCCUGUGCUGGAUUCAAGAGAGUAUUUCACCACUGUUGCCCCAUCUUUCACUUGGCAUCUGCAAAUCUCAAUCAGCCAAGAAGAUUUUGUCAAAUUUACUUCUUGAAGUUUGUUUAUGAGCCAAUUUUCUCAUUGACUUUGCUUUAUCAGCCUCCUCGAUGCCU
This 2076-nucleotide long non-coding RNA is filed under the name Equus asinus (donkey). RNAcentral's name for it is "lncRNA (ENSEASG00005026979.1)". The record is from RNAcentral. Lineage: Eukaryota; Metazoa; Chordata; Mammalia; Perissodactyla; Equidae.